Molecule: long non-coding RNA, 1144 nt
Organism: Eriocheir sinensis (Chinese mitten crab)
Lineage: Eukaryota; Metazoa; Arthropoda; Malacostraca; Decapoda; Varunidae
Exons: 2
Source: RefSeq, a predicted model, not a curated record
CUCUCUCUCUCUCUCUCUCUCUCUCUCUAACACACACACACACACACAUACACACACAUGUACGCGUAUAAAAAUGAUGGAUGAGUCUGUUGAUGUCGGCGAAAGCGGAAAAAAAAAUAAAAUAAAUAAAAUAAUAAUAAUAAUAAUAAUAAUAAUAAUAAUAAUAAUAAUAAUAAUAAUAAUAAUAAUAAUAAUAAUAAUAAUUGGGUGGGCUGGACAUAGCUCGUACGCGGUCACAACACGUACAGAGGCCGUCUUGUCGAAGCAAAAAAUCGAGCAUAGUCUCCCUUACAACAGUAGAAAGAAAAUGGGACCCGAACAGCUGACGCAGCCAUCCUGAAAAUGCUUGGCGAGUUUUCUAAUUUUCCAGUCUAAUGCAAUUUUCUCGCCUCAAAGCAUAGUCUGUGGUGAUUGCGAAUGUCUUAACUUUGCUGGUGAAGGUUUCCAUGGGUAGGCGGUGGCUGAGUGGUAGUGUGCUGGGCCCACAUUCACUGCAUGACAGACGACGCGGGUUCGAAUCCCCGCGCUACCAACUGGGGUUUUUCAGUCAUCGCCGAGUGGCUUAAAACUACCCACAUGCUGCCCUGAAGACCACCCUUCGACCCGGACUCUAGAGGGCGGUGGCUGAGUGGUAGAGUGCUGGGCCCACAUUUACCGCGUGAUGGACAAUGCUGGUUUGAAUCCCGCGCUACCAACUGGGGUUUUUCAGUCAUCGCCGAGUGGCUUAAAACUACCCACAUGCUGCCCUGAAGACCACCCUUCGACCCGGACUCUAGAGGAAACCGUCCAAGUGAAUCAAGAAGGAGUUCCGGGGGGCAGCAUGAGCCAGGAGAAGAUGGCGCCACUAUAAACACUUGCCUGCGCCAUGACGGGCUGGGGCCAACUACCAUCCAGGACCCUCGAACAAGCCUCCCUGUGCUAUAGGCCUACACGUAAAAAAAAUAUAUAUUAAAAAGAUAUUGUUGUACUGAGGUUUUGUGUUCGUGGGAGUCCUGUAAACAAACAUGUGGAUUGUUGUGGAGUUAUUAGUGGAAGCAAAAUUUUAUCGUAGAGCCUGGAGGUUAUAUCUGACAAACAUGUGGAUUGUUGUGGAGUUAUUAGUGGAAGCAAAAUUUUAUCGUAGAGCCUGGAGGUUAUAUCUGAC